Molecule: non-coding RNA, 80 nt
Organism: Armillaria novae-zelandiae
Lineage: Eukaryota; Fungi; Basidiomycota; Agaricomycetes; Agaricales; Physalacriaceae
Source: the annotation of a GenBank genome assembly
GUUGGUAUUGCUUAGGGGUUAAAGCACUUCAUUGUGGAACACAAUCUGAAGAGCCGCUAGUUCGAUUCCAGCUACCGACA